Molecule: ribosomal RNA, 924 nt
Filed under: Triticum aestivum (bread wheat)
Lineage: Eukaryota; Viridiplantae; Streptophyta; Magnoliopsida; Poales; Poaceae
Description: partial small subunit ribosomal RNA
Source: RNAcentral
AUGGAGCGGCUGCAGCGGAUCUUCGGCGCCGGCGGGAUGGGCCAGCCGCCGUCGGACUCGCCGCUGCUCGACUCCUCCGAGCAGGUCUACAUCUCGUCCCUCGCCCUCCUCAAGAUGCUCAAGCACGGGAGGGCCGGCGUGCCGAUGGAGGUCAUGGGCCUCAUGCUCGGCGAGUUCGUCGACGACUACACGGUCCGGGUGGUCGACGUCUUCGCCAUGCCGCAGAGCGGGACGGGGGUCAGCGUCGAGGCCGUCGACCACGUCUUCCAGACCAACAUGCUCGACAUGCUCAAGCAGACCGGCAGGCCAGAAAUGGUGGUAGGGUGGUAUCACUCUCAUCCUGGUUUUGGUUGCUGGCUAUCGGGUGUUGACAUCAAUACUCAACAGAGUUUCGAAGCUUUGAACCCCAGGGCAGUUGCCGUCGUGAUCGACCCCAUCCAGAGUGUCAAGGGGAAGGUGGUCAUCGAUGCAUUUCGUCUCAUUAACCCUCAGACCAUGAUGCUUGGGCAGGAGCCACGUCAGACAACAUCCAAUGUUGGGCACCUGAAUAAGCCAUCUAUUCAGGCUCUUAUUCAUGGGCUCAAUAGACACUACUACUCUAUUGCAAUAAAUUACCGCAAAAAUGAGCUCGAGGAGAAGAUGCUGCUUAACCUUCACAAAAAGAAAUGGACUGAUGGAUUAAUUCUGAAGAAAUUUGACGCACAUUCAGAAACCAAUGAGCAGACUGUUCAGGAAAUGCUGAGCCUAGCCAUCAAGUACAACAAGGCAGUGCAAGAGGAGGAUGAGUUGUCCCCUGAGAAAUUAGCGAUAGCUAAUGUGGGACGGCAAGAUGCGAAGAAGCAUCUAGAAGAGCAUGUCUCAAAUCUGAUGUCGUCGAACAUAGUUCAGACCCUAGGUACCAUGCUUGACACGGUUGUCUUUUAG